RNAcentral lists this ribosomal RNA (484 nucleotides) under uncultured bacterium. Its description in RNAcentral is "partial 16S ribosomal RNA". It matches the Rfam family "Bacterial small subunit ribosomal RNA", at positions 29 to 507 of the family's 1533-position model. The record is from RNAcentral.
CUUGCACGCUGGCGGCAUGCUUUACACAUGCAAGUCGAACGGCAGCGCGGGCUUCGGCCUGGCGGCGAGUGGCGAACGGGUGAGUAAUGCAUCGGAACGUGCCCAGUAGUGGGGGAUAGCCCGGCGAAAGCCGGAUUAAUACCGCAUACGACCUGAGGGUGAAAGCGGGGGACCGAAAGGCCUCGCGCUAUUGGAGCGGCCGAUGUCGGAUUAGCUAGUUGGUGGGGUAAAGGCUUACCAAGGCGACGAUCCGUAGCUGGUCUGAGAGGACGACCAGCCACACUGGGACUGAGACACGGCCCAGACUCCUACGGGAGGCAGCAGUGGGGAAUUUUGGACAAUGGGGGCAACCCUGAUCCAGCCAUGCCGCGUGCGGGAAGAAGGCCUUCGGGUUGUAAACCGCUUUUGUUCGGGAAGAAAUCCUCUGGGCUAAUACCCCGGGGGGAUGACGGUACCGGAAGAAUAAGCACCGGCUAACUACGUG